GGCGGACGGGUGAGUAAUGCUUGGGAACAUGCCUUGAGGUGGGGGACAACAGUUGGAAACGACUGCUAAUACCNAAUAAUGUCUACGGACCANAGGGGGCUUCGGCUCUCGCCUUUANAUUGGCCCAAGUGGGAUUAGCUAGUUGGUGAGGUAAUGGCUCACCAAGGCGACNAUCCCUANCUGGUUUGAGAGGAUGAUCAGCCACACUGGGACUGAGACACGGCCCAGACUCCUACGGGAGGCGNCAGUGGGGAAUAUUGCACAAUGGGCGCAAGCCUGAUGCAGCCAUGCCGCGUGUGUGAAGAAGGCCUUCGGGUUGUAAAGCACUUUCAGUCAGGAGGAAAGGUUAGUAGUUAAUACCUGCUAGCUGUGACGUUACUGACAGAAGAAGCACCGGCUAACUCCGUGCCAGCAGCCGCGGUAAUACGGAGGGUGCGAGC
RNAcentral lists this ribosomal RNA (440 nucleotides) under marine bacterium SIMO-4436. Its description in RNAcentral is "bacterial SSU rRNA". It matches the Rfam family "Bacterial small subunit ribosomal RNA", at positions 97 to 539 of the family's 1533-position model. The record is from RNAcentral.